Molecule: ribosomal RNA, 504 nt
Filed under: uncultured Rickettsiella sp.
Lineage: Bacteria; Pseudomonadati; Pseudomonadota; Gammaproteobacteria; Legionellales; Coxiellaceae
Description: bacterial SSU rRNA
Rfam family: Bacterial small subunit ribosomal RNA
Source: RNAcentral
CAGAUUAACGCUGGCGGAAUGCCUAACACAUGCAAGUCGAACGGCAGCACAAUAAAGAUUUCGGUCUUUAUGGGUGGCGAGUGGCGGACGGGUGAGUAACGCGUAGGAAUCUGUCCUGGAGAGUGGGAUAACCCGAGGAAACUCGGGCUAAUACUGCAUGACAUUGAGAGAUCAAAAGCAGGGGACCGAAAGGCCUUGCGCUCUGGGGUGAGCCUACGUCGGAUUAGCUAGUUGGUGGGGUAAAGGCCUACCAAGGCGACGAUCCGUAGCUGGUCUGAGAGGAUGACCAGCCACACUGGGACUGAGACACGGCCCAGACUCCUACGGGAGGCAGCAGUGGGGAAUCUUGGACAAUGGGGGAAACCCUGAUCCAGCGAUGCCGCGUGUGUGAAGAAGGCCUUCGGGUUGUAAAGCACUUUAGGUGGGGAAGAAAGGUAGCGAGUGAAUAACUUUCUGCUGUGACGGUACCCAUAGAAUAAGCACCGGCUAACUCUGGUGCCAGCC